Molecule: non-coding RNA, 273 nt
Organism: Pelobates cultripes (western spadefoot toad)
Lineage: Eukaryota; Metazoa; Chordata; Amphibia; Anura; Pelobatidae
Source: the annotation of a GenBank genome assembly
CUGUGUUUUAUGUAUAAAAGGUGACUUUAUGUAUUUUAAAGUGUUUUGUGUCUUUUUGCAACCAUGUGCUUAAUGGAGUCUUGUGUCUGUCCUGGGAGAUAAUUGAAUUACAAUUCAAUCUCCAGGAUAGAAGACUCUGAAACUGGUUUGGGCCGGAAAGCCAUGCUUCAUUUAGUCACAAAGGACUUUCCCUUAACUUUUGAACCCCUGGUCUGAUUCGUGCCAUUUUUUAAUAUGUUGUUCCCCUGAAUGGAUUGAUUCUGAAAAUGUAUG